This is a long non-coding RNA of Carassius carassius (crucian carp), 1088 nucleotides long. RefSeq lists it as uncharacterized. NCBI's taxonomy places the organism in Eukaryota, Metazoa, Chordata, Actinopteri, Cypriniformes, Cyprinidae. The transcript is spliced from 2 exons. The record is from RefSeq and is a predicted model, not a curated record.
ACUCUGCAGGGCUCCGGCUCUCCACGAAUAGAGUUUGACACCCCUGUUCUAGAGAGACUGAAGAGCUUGAUAAGCUGGUUCAGGUGUGUUUAAUUAGAUUGGAGCUAAAUUGUGCAGGACAGCAGCACUUAAGGAACUGGUUUGGACAUCCGAGGCAGUACCUUGCAUGCUCAUGCUUUGCUUUUCAAGAAGGAUGAACCUCUGGUGAUGUGCUACAGAUGUAAUUCUUCUGGGUGGAGUUCUACACGUAGUUGCAUCACAUCUCUUCCUGUUCUAGUUUAAUUCAUUAUAUGAGGAUCACAGUUACCAAUCCCUCUGGAAAAAUGCUGAUGUAUUACAUAAUGUGGAUGGUAAGAGUUUACAUGGAAUGUAGCUGAGUGGGAUUUCAGAGGAACCUAAAUCCCAGAGGAUGUGGAUUACUGGCACCGACAACUCAAAUCAGCACUUCGGAAAUUCCUAUAGAAAGACACAGAGAAGACACACUGAGAGACCAGCAGGGACUGAGACAAAGCCAUAGAGAGAGAAAACCGUUGAUCCAUUGCAGACUUUGCAGGUUGUUCUCUGUAUUCAACCUGCCAGAUUUUACCCUCUGAGACCCACUGUAGCAUAUGCAACAACUAUUUUUCACACAUUGUUCUAUUUUGCAAAACAAGCGCACAUACUGUAUGUUAUUAUAAUUUUCAUUAUUAUUAUUUUCAAUUUUUAGCAUAUGAACCUGCUGUAUUUCUGCAUUAAGUGGUCAUAAAAUGUCAUUUUAUCUUCAACAAAGUCACAAAUAAUGAUCCUCCAGCUCUUAAUGCAUUGUUUUCCUUCUUGAGAAUCAGUAAAUGUUAUCACAUCUUAUAAUAAUUGUAAUGAAUAAAUUCAUAUCAUCAGUGUGAAAGGAUGAAUCUCAAAAGCACAAUCACUUUUGUAAAGGGUUCAAAUAUGCAGGAUAAUGGUGGAAAACCAAAGAAAGUGCGGGAUCUAGAGGGUUUUCUGAAGAACAGCGAUCAGUUUAUAUGCAAACAAACAAGGUUAAUUAAAAAACAAGCACUGCAUUGUGAAUUUUAAUGGUAUGUGUUUAAUAAAGCCAUGGAAAACUAUAA